Molecule: ribosomal RNA, 465 nt
Filed under: uncultured bacterium
Lineage: Bacteria
Description: partial 16S ribosomal RNA
Rfam family: Bacterial small subunit ribosomal RNA
Source: RNAcentral
CCUACGGGAGGCAGCAGUAGGGAAUCUUCCACAAUGGGCGCAAGCCUGAUGGAGCAACACCGCGUGAGUGAAGAAGGGUUUCGGCUCGUAAAGCUCUGUUGUUGGAGAAGAACGUGCGUGAGAGUAACUGUUCACGCAGUGACGGUAUCCAACCAGAAAGUCACGGCUAACUACGUGCCAGCAGCCGCGGUAAUACGUAGGUGGCAAGCGUUAUCCGGAUUUAUUGGGCGUAAAGCGAGCGCAGGCGGUUGCUUAGGUCUGAUGUGAAAGCCUUCGGCUUAACCGAAGAAGUGCAUCGGAAACAGGGCAACUUGAGUGAAGAAGAGGAAAGUGGAACUCCAUGUGUAGCGGUGGAAUGCGUAGAUAUAUGGAAGAACACCAGUGGCGAAGGCGGCUGUCUGGUCUGCAACUGACGCUGAGGCUCGAAAGCAUGGGUAGCAAACAGGAUUAGAUACCCGUGUAGUC